UAUAAGUUAAUACCUUAUAACCCUGAUGUUACCUGCAGAAUAAGCACCGGCUAAUUCCGUGCCAGCAGCCGCGGUAAUACGGAAGGUGCAAGCGUUAAUCGGAAUUACUGGGCGUAAAGCGCGCGUAGGUGGUUUGUUAAGUUGGAUGUGAAAGCCCUGGGCUCAACCUAGGAACUGCAUCCAAAACUAACUCACUAGAGUACGAUAGAGGGAGGUAGAAUUCAUAGUGUAGCGGUGGAAUGCGUAGAUAUUAUGAAGAAUACCAGUGGCGAAGGCGGCCUCCUGGAUCUGUACUGACACUGAGGUGCGAAAGCGUGGGUAGCGAACAGGAUUAGAUACCCUGGUAGUCCACGCCGUAAACGAUGACAACUAGCUGUUGGAAGACAAUGUCUUUCAGUGGCGCAGCUAACGUUUUAAGUUGUCCGCCUGGGGAGUACGGCCGCAAGGCUAAAACUCAAAUGAAUUGACGGGGACCCGCACAAGCGGUGGAGCAUGUGGUUUAAUUCGAUGCAACGCGAAAAACCUUACCUACUCUUGACAUACUUGGAAGCUCUUGUAAUGAGAGCGUGCCUUUUGGAACCAAGAUACAGGUGCUGCAUGGCUGUCGUCAGCUCGUGUCGUGAGAUGUUCCGUUAAGUCGGAUAACGAGCGCAACCCUUACCCUUAUUUGCCAGCGAUUCGGUCGGGAACUAUAAGGGGACUGCCGGUGAUAAACCGGAGGAAGGUGAGGACGACGUCAAGUCAUCAUGGCCCUUACGAGUAGGGCUACACACGUGCUACAAUGGGGAAUACAGACGGACGCUAAGCCGCGAGGUGGUGCUAAUCCUAAAAAGUUUCUCGUAGUCCGGAUUGGAGUCUGCAACUCGACUCCAUGAAGUCGGAAUCGCUAGUAAUCG
RNAcentral lists this ribosomal RNA (896 nucleotides) under marine metagenome. RNAcentral's name for it is "bacterial SSU rRNA". It matches the Rfam family "Bacterial small subunit ribosomal RNA", at positions 448 to 1344 of the family's 1533-position model. The record is from RNAcentral.